RNAcentral lists this unclassified non-coding RNA (402 nucleotides) under fungal sp. RNAcentral describes it as "partial internal transcribed spacer region". The stretch from base 1 to 46 matches the Rfam family "Eukaryotic small subunit ribosomal RNA", at positions 1786 to 1831 of the family's 1831-position model. Lineage: Eukaryota; Fungi. The record is from RNAcentral.
AAGUCGUAACAAGGUUUCCGUAGGUGAACCUGCGGAAGGAUCAUUAACACGUAUCCAACGUUAAACCCCCCGUGCAUCUUUAGAGAGCUCUUGUAAGCCCAUUAUGAUAGCAAUCCUGGUAAAUCAGUGGCGAAAGUAGUCUUUGAUUCAGGACCUCUGUCUGGUGAGAACCUAGCGGUAAGCGAGCAAUUGAGCCUUUUAUCGUCAGUCUGGAGUCCUGGCCGGGCGAAUGAAAGUGUCGCUGGACGGUUUCUAGGGUAAGGCUUCGCCAUCACUGGAGGCUCAACACGGGCCGGUGGACAGACUGCAGGGUCCCCAUGCCCCUUUAUGACGACCAAGUUAAAUAAGGCCUCUACCAUAGAGGAAAACGUACAACUGUUAACAAUGGAUAUCUUGGUUCUC